AAGUGGUCUGCGCCUACGUACAAUGGACCUUUUCCGACAUGGGCAAACGCGAUUGGUUGGGUGAUUAUUGUAUCUACACUCAUCCUUACUCCUAUUUUUAUGCUGAUUGAGUAUAGCAGAGCAUCAGGAACAUUUGUUGAACGUAUUGCAGAAAUAUCCAGACCAACUUCGGACUUCGGACCAACGGACUCCGUGAACAGAGAGGAGGCGAAGUCGGUACAUUCGAUGCGUGGUACAUGGUUAGGCCCAGUCGAGUACAAGGCAACAUACACCCCCACAGUCCACGGCAUAGAUAAUGUCAGUUUCCAACCUGCUGGUGUUAUAUAAAUGACGGGAAAUACCAUGCAACACUUACCGUGACGUCCUUUAUACACAUUCAUAUAGAACACAGUAAUUGAACUGAGAGGAAGCUUGUUAUUUAUAACUGUAGUAUAAGCAUAAUAGACCUAAGAAACACGGAACUUAAACCUGUGCUUCAGCAUUGACGUCUUAAUGUAGCCCAGUUUGAUUCUUUUCUGGGUAGCUGGGUAUUGAAAUUCUUCUGACGGAAAAGCAUUGUCCUUUUCCGUAUGUAAAUUGUAUUUUACGCCUAAAAGAUUUUCUCGUGUGUAAAUUGAGAUUUACGCCUAAAAGAUUUUCGUGUCUCUUUUUGUAUUGGUUAAUGUACCCAUGUAUACCUAUGUAUUGUUGUAUUGAUGUAUUGAAUGUGUUGAUUUUUACUGUUUUGAUUAUUUUUAGAUAGACUUAUAUUUCUUUAUGUCAGUUUUAAUGUUAAUGUUCAUAUUUAAUUUCCUCAUAUGGAAAAUUUCUAUAGAUUUUACUUGAAUUGACUUGUAAUGUUUUAAGGAAAUACUAUUAUGAGAUAAUGAAUUUGUAACAAAAGAAAUAGCUUCCAUGUUGUUUAUACAAAUUGAAGAAAAUUGAAACACGAAA
This is a long non-coding RNA of Anneissia japonica, 933 nucleotides long. RefSeq lists it as uncharacterized. Lineage: Eukaryota; Metazoa; Echinodermata; Crinoidea; Comatulida; Comatulidae. The transcript has 2 exons. The record is from RefSeq and is a predicted model, not a curated record.